This 756-nucleotide ribosomal RNA is filed under the name uncultured bacterium. RNAcentral describes it as "bacterial SSU rRNA". It matches the Rfam family "Bacterial small subunit ribosomal RNA", at positions 8 to 796 of the family's 1533-position model. The record is from RNAcentral.
AGAGUUUGAUCCUGGCUCAGAAUCAACGCUGGCGGCGUGCCUAACACAUGCAAGUCGAACGAGAAAGUGGAGCAAUCCAUGAGUAAAGUGGCGCACGGGUGAGUAACACGUGACUAACCUACCCUUGAGUGGGGGAUAACCUAGGGAAACCUGGGCUAAUACCGCAUAAUACCUUCGGGUCAAAGCAGCAAUGCGCUUGGAGAGGAGUUCGCGGCCGAUUAGUUAGUUGGCGGGGUAAUGGCCCACCAAGACGAUGAUCGGUAUCCGGCCUGAGAGGGCGCACGGACACACUGGAACUGAAACACGGUCCAGACUCCUACGGGAGGCAGCAGUGGGGAAUUUUGCGCAAUGGGGGAAACCCUGACGCAGCAACGCCGCGUGGAGGAUGAAAUAUCUUGGUAUGUAAACUCCUUUCGAUGGGGAAGAUUAUGACGGUACCCAUAGAAGAAGCCCCGGCUAACUUCGUGCCAGCAGCCGCGGUAAUACGAGGGGGGCAAGCGUUGUUCGGAUUUAUUGGGCGUAAAGGGUGCGUAGGCGGUUUGGCAAGUCUGAUGUGAAAUCUAUGGGCUCAACCCAUAGUCUGCAUCAGAAACUGCCGGGCUUGAGUAUGGGAGAGGUGAGUGGAAUUUCCGGUGUAGCGGUGAAAUGCGUAGAUAUCGGAAGGAACACCUGUGGCGAAAGCGGCUCACUGGACCAUAACUGACGCUGAUGCACGAAAGCUAGGGGAGCAAACAGGAUUAGAUACCCCUGUAGUCC